This is a non-coding RNA of Schizosaccharomyces pombe (fission yeast), 1646 nucleotides long. NCBI's taxonomy places the organism in Eukaryota, Fungi, Ascomycota, Schizosaccharomycetes, Schizosaccharomycetales, Schizosaccharomycetaceae. The record is from the annotation of a GenBank genome assembly.
GUGAGUAACUGAUGCAACAUAGUGAUUCGACGAGCUAAACGUUGAAAUCUAAAAGAAACUGGUGUUGUUCAACGGAUUGUUAUGCUGCUGGACGGGGUUUUGGUAAUUGGAAUGGGCCUUUUAACGUGGUCCCCAUCAUAAACUCGCCAAAAUUUCAGAUUCUCAUCACUGGCUGCAGUUGAAAGAAUUCUUCCAUCAGGCGAUAAAGCUGAAUACAAAACUCGGGUAUCAUGUGCAGGAAUAUCAACUUGUUUGGUUAAUCCGCUGCUACUAUAAGACCAUAUAGACAAAUUGUUAUCUGGAAAGCCAUGAGUAGACAUGAUUUCUUUAGAAUGAGGGCUCCAAAUCAGUGAAGUGACCUGACUACCCGCAUCCACGGUGUUAACUCUUGCACCAGUGGCAGCAUUCCAAAAGUGAAUCUGUUUAUCCAUUGUGCCACCGCCUGUCGCCAAUAGAUUACUUUGCCAAGGGCACCAAGCAACUGCCUUUACAGCAGCGUUAUGGUUGGUUUUGGUAAAUUUGGGAAUCGAAGAUCUGGCAUCCCAAAUUUGAACAACGUUGUCAUUACCGCCAGAGGCCAACUGAAGACCGUCUGAACGCCACGCCAAACCACAGACUUCACUAGAGUGUCCCUGAAGAGUCCCAAUCUGAUGAUUAGCGAUACGCACAUCAUGAUGAUGAAUAGCGCCAGAACGGCUACCACUCGACAGAACGUGACGAUUCCAGGAGAGACAACCAACUCUAGCUUGAUGGCCUGCCAUUGUUCGAAGUUUUGUCUGUGAUUCAACAUCAUAUAUAUCAACGAGCCCGUUUCCAAGACCGACGGAUAAAAAUGAACCAUCGUGAGACCAUUUUACACUAGCAACAUAGGUUGAUUCAUCGGUUUCUGCCAAAGCGCUAACCGAACCACUAUCAGCAUUCCAAACAUACACAUUGCGCUCCAAAGCAACAGCAACGACGUUUAAGUUUGACCAAUCCAGCAAAUUCAAGUAGUAAUCAUCAAUGAUACCAGGAGCAUCUAAAACUCGUUCAGGAGUAGUGUUAAAGCGUCGUUUAGCCGGUGUAACCACAGGUCUUUGAGGCCGAUUGUGUUGAGUGCGCAAGUCUACAGGCUUUUUGGCCUCAGGAGCAUCCAAUUUAAAGGCGAGAACACGCGUGUUUAAAUCAAAACCGCAUGCUUCAGCAACUGAUUCACUAUAAUCAAAAGGAACGUCACUGCUGAUAGAAUUUACAAAAGCAUUAGCAGUGUUUGGACGAGAAGGAAUAAAGCGGUCACUUCGACUGGCAGGACGACUUUUGUUUCGUGGUGAUCCGCAUAGUGGAAUAGACCAAUCUGUAUUUACUACAUCGAUUUUUGGUGAGUUUCUGAUAAAAGAAGAUUUAGGGGAGCAACGCUUGGAAGAACGACCGUUACGGCCUAAAAGUGCCUGCUGAUGCAGGGGAGUUAUAGGGCUGUUAGGGAAGACUAAGUUCCUUUUCUUUGUGGGUGUUGAAAAUGUAGGCGAUAUGGUUGAAGAAUUACCUGCUAUCUCCAUUUUGAUUAACUCGCUCAAAAUAUAUAUGUAAAAGAAAAAUAAUGCAAGAAGCGAAUAUCAAAGGACAGAAACGUAUCCAAAACUUUGAAUAAAACUUCUAAUGAAUUAGAA